Molecule: non-coding RNA, 245 nt
Organism: Cajanus cajan (pigeon pea)
Lineage: Eukaryota; Viridiplantae; Streptophyta; Magnoliopsida; Fabales; Fabaceae
Source: Rfam
AGUAAGCAACCUAGAGAAGUAAGCGACGAAAUGCUUUGGGGAGUUGAAAAUAAGCAUAGGUCCGGGGAUCCUCGAUAUAGGUUAACCUUUCGAACAACUGUUGAAUUCAUAGGUAGGCAAAAGACAACUUAAUGAACUGAAACAUCUUAGUAGCUAGAAGAAAAGAAAGCAAAAGCGAUUCCUGUAGUAGAGGCGAGUGAAAUGAGAGCAGCCUAAACCUCGAACUGCUAUCUUAGAAAUUUACU